UGGGGAAUUUUGGACAAUGGGCGAAAGCCUGACCCAGCAACGCCGCGUGAAGGAUGAAGUAUUUCGGUAUGUAAACUUCGAAAGAAUAGGAAGAAUAAAUGACGGUACUAUUUAUAAGGUCCGGCUAACUACGUGCCAGCAGCCGCGGUAAUACGUAGGGACCAAGCGUUGUUCGGAUUUACUGGGCGUAAAGGGCGCGUAGGCGGCAAUUCAAGUCAUCUGUGAAAUCUCCGGGCUUAACUCGGAACGGUCAGAUGAUACUGCUUUGCUAGAGUGCAGAAGGGGCAAUCGGAAUUCUUGGUGUAGCGGUGAAAUGCGUAGAUAUCAAGAGGAACACCUGAGGUGAAGACGGGUUGCUGGGCUGACACUGACGCUGAGGCGCGAAAGCCAGGGGAGCAAACGGGAUUAGAUACCCUGGUAGUCCCUGAGCGGGCUGGCAAGGCGCAU
RNAcentral lists this ribosomal RNA (447 nucleotides) under uncultured bacterium. Its description in RNAcentral is "bacterial SSU rRNA". It matches the Rfam family "Bacterial small subunit ribosomal RNA", at positions 355 to 825 of the family's 1533-position model. The record is from RNAcentral.